RNAcentral lists this ribosomal RNA (253 nucleotides) under uncultured bacterium. RNAcentral's name for it is "partial 16S ribosomal RNA". It matches the Rfam family "Bacterial small subunit ribosomal RNA", at positions 524 to 776 of the family's 1533-position model. The record is from RNAcentral.
UACGAGGGGGGCAAGCGUUGUUCGGAUUUAUUGGGCGUAAAGGGUGCGUAGGCGGGCAUGUAAGUCUGUGGUGAAAUCUCCAAGCUUAACUUGGCAACUGCCAUGGAUACUAUAUGUCUUGAAUGUUGUGGGGGUUAGCGGAAUAUGUCAUGUAGCGGUGAAAUGCAUAGAUAUGACAUAGAACACCAAUUGCGAAGGCAGCUGGCUACACAAAUAUUGACGCUGAGGCACGAAAGCGUGGGGAUCAAACAGG